CAUAAGAUUAGUAAUUCUGAGACCCCUGGGGGUCCAUAGAUUCGAAUAUCCCUCUAUUCGUAGACCUAGUAUCAAGAUUUAAUAAUUAAGUUGACUGUCCUCAUACUCCGUCAGGUAAUGGGUGCCAAAAACACUAUCGCCUCGAUACCCCAUCUGAUAUGAGAGUGAAUCAUAUCACCCAAAACCCUUUCGGUAUGGGACUUCUCAAACCUGUUCGAUUAAGGUAAUGUUCACGGUAGGGUUCCCUAUAUAUUAGAUCCAUCCACAAUUU
RNAcentral lists this long non-coding RNA (271 nucleotides) under Carica papaya (papaya). RNAcentral describes it as "long non-coding RNA (CPAP_LNC011824)". The record is from RNAcentral. Lineage: Eukaryota; Viridiplantae; Streptophyta; Magnoliopsida; Brassicales; Caricaceae.